AGAUUGAACGCUGGCGGCGUGCCUAACACAUGCAAGUCGAGCGGUAACAGGUGUAGCAAUACAUGCUGACGAGCGGCGAACGGGUGAGUAAUGCUUUGGAAUCUUCCCAGUAGUGGGGAAUAACCAGUCGAAAGAUUGGCUAAUACCGCAUACGUCUGUAAAGGGAAAGCGGGGGCUCGUAAGACCUCGCGCUAUUGGAUGAGCCAAAGUCGGAUUAGCUAGUUGGUGGGGUAAUGGCCUACCAAGGCGACAAUCCGUAGCUGGUCUGAGAGGACGACCAGCCACACCGGAACUGAGACACGGUCCGGACUCCUACGGGAGGCAGCAGUGGGGAAUAUUGGACAAUGGGGGAAACCCUGAUCCAGCGACGCCGCGUGUGUGAAGAAGGCCUGCGGGUUGUAAAGCACUUUUAGUGGGGACAAAAAGCUACGGAUUAAUACUCUGUGGUCUUGAUUUAACCCAAAGAAAAGCACCGGCUAACUCUGCGCCAGCAGCCGCGGUAA
This 503-nucleotide ribosomal RNA is filed under the name uncultured bacterium. RNAcentral's name for it is "SSU rRNA". It matches the Rfam family "Bacterial small subunit ribosomal RNA", at positions 26 to 523 of the family's 1533-position model. The record is from RNAcentral.